UCUGUAUCUCUGUUAAUAUUGCAUUGAAAAAACGUUACUUGUAUUUUUUACUGUGUAUCUGUGCAAUGAAGUUCUUUGCUUGGAAAAAUUAUAGAAAAGAUG
Molecule: long non-coding RNA, 102 nt
Organism: Sapajus apella (tufted capuchin)
Lineage: Eukaryota; Metazoa; Chordata; Mammalia; Primates; Cebidae
Exons: 3
Source: RefSeq, a predicted model, not a curated record